AGCUGCACCUGCAGCAUAGGGAAGUUCCUGGGCCAGGGGUCAAAUUGGAGCUGCAGCUGCAGCCUACGCCACAGCCACAGCCACACUGGAUCUAAGCUGCAUCUGUGACCUACACAGCAGCUCAUGGCAGCACCAGAUCCCUAACCCACUGAACCAGGGCGGGGAGGGAACCUGCAUCUUCACAGGGACGACGUUGGUUCCCUAACCCACUGAGCCACAGUGGGAACUCUGGGAAACUCCAAAUCAAAUUCUUUCAGAUUGCAUUCAACGUUUCCUAUAGGGGUGCAGUCACCUCAGCGUUCAGGGAGGUGACUAUAUCCCUACAGGAGAAUGGAGGAAGGGUCUAUUUCCAAGCUUACCUCUGGUUGUCGACUGACCUCAGGUCCUCCAUGGCUGUUAGCCAGAGACAUCAGUUUCUUGUCUCUCUACAGGACAGCUCACAAAACGGCAGCUUCCUUCCCCUAACCCAAGCACUCCAAACAAGAGAGAGAGAUGAAAGUCACAUUCUUUUGUAACAGACUCACUUUGCAAUACCCGAUUUGUUAGGAGAGAGCCACGAGGUCCAGCCCACACUUAGAGAGAGAAGAUGAACAAGGAUGUGACCCCUGGAAGUCGGCUUAGGGGCUUCCUGCCACACUGAGUCAUUUUCUUCUUCCCAGCCGUUACCCUUCCUACCAUCCCUUCUUUAUAAGAUGAACUAGGCCAUGCAAUACGGCCAACACGUCAACCCAGGCCUGACAGUCCAUACUUGAAGCACAUCCUGCAGUAUGCUACUCAUACAAUACUGUGCUUCUUAAAAAAUGAAUGCAGGCGUUCCCGUUGUGGCGCAGUGGUUAACGAAACCAACUAAGAACCAUGAGGUUGCAGGUUCGAUCCCUGCCCUUGCUCAGUGGGUUAAGGAUCUGGUGUUGCCAUGAACUGUGGUGUAGGUUGCAGACGCGGCUCGGAUCCCGCGUUGCUGUGGCUCUGGCGUAGGCCGGCGGCUACAGCUCCAAUUUGAUCCCUAGCCUGGGAACCUCCAUAUGCUGUGGGAGCAGCCCAAAAAAGGCAAAAAGACCAAAAAAAAAAAGAAAAAAGAAAAAAAGAAGGCGGCAGAAUGAAGCCGGGGUGGGUGAGUGGGGAAGUCUUUUCAGCAAUCACAUUGUUUGGAUGUGUUCAGGUAUUUAGACUCCCAGAUCUAUAAUCUGUAGGAUUUAAAGGCAAUAGGCUCCCCUUCUUCAGAAUGUGCCUGCAUUCUCGCCAGUAUAUCCUUGAAAGCCUUUGCCCUGCCUAUGCUCUUUGGAAUGUCAGUGACUUAGAGCACUUAGGCAGGAAAAGACUCAAGGUUCCCAAUGAACGUCUAGGUCUAGGAAGUGCAGCUGAAGAGAGUAAUUAUAUGCCAAGAGCCUGUCAGGCUUGUUGUACUUUUGAGACUUUGUUCUGAAUAGUCUUGGGGACACAAGCUGGAGGUGGCUUAGGAAGAUGGGAGGUUUAGAUAGACGAGCAGAAAUGGCUGGACAAGGAUGGUGUUGAAAUGGCAUUCUGCUAAACCCCUGGGGGAGCUUAGCCAGCCAUUGGUUAACGAAACUGACUAGGAACCAUGAGGUUGCAGGUUCGAUCCCUGGCCUUGCUCAGUGGGUUAACGAUCCAGCAUUGCCGUGAGCUGUGGUGUAGGUCACAGACUCCGCUUGGAUCCCACAUUGCUGUGGCUCUGCUGUAGGUUGGUAGCUACAGCUCUGAUUCGACCCCUAGCCUGGGAACCUCCAUAUGUCACGGGGGCGGCCCUAGAAAAGGUAAAAAGACGGAAAAAAAAAAAAGAAAAAGAAAAGAAAGCUAGUCUUUUGUCCUUUUUUUCGUGGCACAUGGAGUUUCCCAGGCUAGGGGUCAAAUUGGAGCUGCAGCUGCUGGCCUACACCACAGCCACAGCAAUGCAGGAUCUGAGCCGAGUCUUCAACCUACACCACAGCUCACGGCAACACUGGAUCCUUAACCCACUGAGCGAGGCCAGGGAUCAAACCCGAAACCUCCUGGGUCCUAGUCGGAUUUGUUUCCAUUGCACCAUGACGGGAACUCCAAGAAGCUAGUAAGGACUGAGGUUAGCUGUUUGAAAGAAAAACGUUUGAGUCAGUGCUGAUUUACUGAGAAGUUACUGAAAACAAUUUAUGAGAUUUUAAAGAUACACUGUAGACUUUUUCUAAUUUUAAUAAAUUAAAAUAAUCAUGUUGGUGUGAUUAUUGCUUGGUAAAUACAGAGCUCCUUUCCUUCUGGAAAUGACCACCUACUAUUCUUUUCUUCAGUCCCUCCCCCGACCACACACACACACACACACACACACACACACACACCCGUGCACAUGAUCACCAUGGAAGCCACUAUGAGUGCCCCAUAAUUCUGCCCAUCUGUAGGUGACUGGCCAAGGGUAGUACACUUAGCUGAGCUGGGACAUCCCUAAUCCUUAACUGGUUUGGAUUUAGGAACAGGUGGUCUAGUCUUUCUUAAGAACCCCAGGACGUUUUCUCUUACUUGGAUCAGAGAAAACUGGUCUGGAAAGCGGGGAGGAAACAACGUAGACAAACGGAGUAAAGGCACUGAGAUGGAGAAGGAACACAGGCAGCAUUUGCAGUUCUGGUUCCAGUAAUUGCUGAGGCUGGGCUGUUCUCUCAUCAUUUAGUUUCUGAGAUAGAACAGGAUCUUCAUAACUUCCCCCUUUAGCUAAAGCAUAUUUGCUUUGGGUUUCUUCUCUUGCAACCAAAGGGGGAAAAAAAAAAAAACACCUAAGUUAUUCACAACUACACGAUAGAAACAAUUGUCAAAUUAAUAAAAAUAUAAGGAAGGACACAAACAAUGACCAAUACUUCUACCAGUUUGAGAUAAUGUCUCCAACCAUUUUGGAAUAUUUUUCCAGCCACUUUUCUAUGCAUUUACAUAAAUGAAAUUAGAAAUUUGAUAGGAGUUUUAAAUUCACUUUUUUUUUUUCCACUUACGGAUUAUAUUGUGGGCACUUUCUUGUGUCUAUGAAUGUAUCCUUCCAAAAUACCGUUUUUGUUACUCUAUGAUGAUUUAUUUCAUGAGAAGCAAGUGAGCUGAUCUGGUUGACAUUUUGGAAAGAUUCUGGCUACAGAGUGGGUAUCAGAUUGGAGAUUAACAUGGAGAAAAAUGAGUUGAGAAAGGUUGUUGGAGUCCAGGGGACUGCCCACGCUGGGUAAGGCUAGGGUGGUGACAGUGGGGAGAGAAGAUGAAGGAUUCAGAAUGUGUUAAUUGGGGUCAGGGAGUAAAGGGAAACAAGACGUCUAGCACAACUACGUGGAUGGUACUGUAGGAGGAAACGUCCUGAUAAAAAAGUAGAGAGACCCCAGCCAUGAUGACUCAGCAAAGUCCAGCCAAUUGCUCCUAACCACCCCUCCCCUAUGCAUCUGCUUCUGUAAAGUUGCUUCCGCAAUUACAACCCUGCCUGUUCUCACUCUGGUCCGACCAGCCAAGCAUACACCCAGAAGAGGUUGCCCAUAAAAGCCUUGUGAAACCCUUCUUCGGGGCUCAGGCUCUGGAGAGCGAUCUCCUCUGAGCCCGCUGGAGGCAUAAUAAACCUGAGUUCUCCAACUCUCCAAAGGCUCACUUGGUUUCUCACUGGGUAAAGACCUGAUACACUGCAGCCCCAGGGCUGUUGCUAGAGCUGAUACACUCUGGCCAGGGGGCUGCUGGGCGGCUGCCUUAAGAGUACAGCCAUUUUGGGAGGACACAAUUCUGCAGGAGAAGAAGUUUGGAGGGAAUAAAAUGAGUUUUUGGGUUUUGGGUUUUUUGUUGCUUUUUAGGGCCGCACUCAUGGCACAUGGAAGUUCCCAGGCUAGGGGUCAAAUCGGAGCUGCAGCUGCUGGCCUACACCACAGCCACAGCAACGCCAGAUCCAAGCCGUAUCUGUAACCUACACUGCAGUUCAUGUUAAUGCUGGAUCCCUGACGCACUGAGUGUGGCCAGGGAUUGAACCCUUCAUGGAUACUAGUCGGGUUCGUUUCCGUUGAGCCACAAUAGGAACUCUAUGAGUUUCAUUUUGGACAUGCUGAGUUCUCAGGGCUUUGUGGACAUUCAAGUCCUGAUAUAUGGAUUGAAGCAGGAGAUAAAGAUUUGGAAUAUAGGCAGGAGAUAAGGCUUCAGAGGCCAUUAGUGUCCACAGGUGAUUAAAGCCACAGGAAUGAAUGACAUCACCCAGGCGGAGGGUUAAGAGUGAGGAGGGACCUGGGAGUUCUCACUGUGGCUCAGCGGUUAACAAACCUGACUGGUAUCCAGGAUGAUCACAGGUUCAAUCCCUGGCAGGUUUAAUCCCUGCAGUGGGUUGGGGAUCUGGUGUUGCCAUGAGCUGUGGCGUAGGACAGCAGCUGAUGCUGUGUUUGACCCCUGGCCUGGGAACUUCCAUAUGCCUCAGGUGCAGCCCUGGGAAAAAAAAAAAAAAGACACACACACACACACACACACAAAGAGUGAGAAGGGACCUGAGGAGGAUAGAAGAAAGAAUCUCUAUCAGGGAGACCAAGGAGGAGCCGCCAGAGGGGUAGGAAGAAAAGGAGGCGAGCACAGUAUCCCGGAGCCCAAAUGAAGACACUUACUUAAGGAGGAGGCA
Molecule: long non-coding RNA, 4591 nt
Filed under: Sus scrofa (pig)
Lineage: Eukaryota; Metazoa; Chordata; Mammalia; Artiodactyla; Suidae
Description: lncRNA (ENSSSCG00030028856.1)
Source: RNAcentral